Suricata suricatta (meerkat) is the source of this 497-nucleotide long non-coding RNA. RefSeq lists it as uncharacterized. The record is from RefSeq and is a predicted model, not a curated record. The transcript is spliced from 3 exons. NCBI's taxonomy places the organism in Eukaryota, Metazoa, Chordata, Mammalia, Carnivora, Herpestidae.
CUGUGUGCCGGGCCUUUGUCUGCUACCCACAUUUCCUGUCUCUGUUAUUCUCUUCUUCAGCAAGACCAUCUGAAACCCAAAACUUUUAUUGCCCCUUUUAAAAAGGCUUCACAGCUCCCCAUCUGCCUCACCCCUGCUGGCGGGGCUGCCACUGCAGUUGGGGAAGCGGCUGCUGCGGCAGGAAUUCGCGCUGGGCUCGGCCGCAGGGUCUUGGCCCGGACCUGCAGGGAGGAGGGCCAGGUGAUAGAAACAGAGGCACAAGGACAUUAAAUCAAUGGCCAGUAAGUCGCAGACUCUGGCCUCCGUACCAGGACCAUCUGACUGCAGGGUCUACGCACUUCCAUCUGCCUCUGUCGGCAAAUGAGUUAGUAACUGGCAACACACAGGUGAUGAUUCCGGUUUGUUCAGAGCGACCAUUUAACCUUUUCAAACACGGCCCCGGUUGUGCAUGAGUGUCGUAGAAGAAUUCAAGCGUGCAGAUGAAUAAAAAGACCAUU